Molecule: ribosomal RNA, 301 nt
Filed under: uncultured bacterium
Lineage: Bacteria
Description: partial 16S ribosomal RNA
Rfam family: Bacterial small subunit ribosomal RNA
Source: RNAcentral
CAGCAGCCGCGGGAAUACGUAGGGUGCGAGCGUUAAUCGGAAUUACUGGGCGUAAAGCGUGCGCAGGCGGUUAUGUAAGACAGGUGUGAAAUCUCCGGGCUUAACCUGGGAACUGCGCUUGUGACUGCACAGCUAGAGUAUGGCAGAGGGGGGUGGAAUUCCACGUGUAGCAGUGAAAUGCGUAGAGAUGUGGAGGAACACCGAUGGCGAAGGCAGCCCCCUGGGCCAAUACUGACGCUCAUGCACGAAAGCGUGGGGAGCAAACAGGAUUAGAUACCCCGGUAGUCCCUGUCUCUUAUAC